This 1087-nucleotide long non-coding RNA is filed under the name Coturnix japonica (Japanese quail). Its description in RNAcentral is "lncRNA (ENSCJPG00005016822.1)". The record is from RNAcentral. Lineage: Eukaryota; Metazoa; Chordata; Aves; Galliformes; Phasianidae.
UAUCUAUUUGCCUUUGAUUGGUCUGUAGAGAUUUCAGUUAGUUUUAUUGAUAUUAAUAACAAUUUAUUGUUAAUAAUAGUUCUGAUAAUAUGUCAUCUUGUGUAUGGUUGUGUAUUUCAAUGAGGCCCAUCAAAUUGUCUAAUAUUUCUUUCAAUAAGAAGCCCGUGGAGUUUUGAAUAGAUGUUCCAUGGUAAACAGAACACAGUGAUCAGUUUUCUCUGCUAGUAUAGGGCUUUUACCUCUGGCAUUAAUCUGAGGAUGUUGUCUGCUAGCAGGAAGAACGUAUUAGGAGAAGCAUGGCCCUGUGCAAAAAGUGAGAUUCCAUAACAAAAGUAUGCAGCACACCAUGUCACAGCCUCAUUUCAGUCUUGUCACGUUAUUCUCUCCCAUUUUCUUUUGGAGAUUAGAGAGGAAUUCAAACUGGGAUAUCAACAGAAGCUGCCCCUACUGCUGGUUGGAGGAGUGAUACCCAUAUGUUGAUGAAGGCAGUAUAAAAAUAUUACCUGUUCAAACAGGAGGGGGGAAAAAAGAAGAUAAAAGUUAUCUCACGUUACUCACUGUUCCAUGCAAACCAGACAGAGCGCUGAUCCUAUUCCUUUCACCUUGACAGCGCCCACCAUGUUCAACGGUAAAUAUUGCAAGAUUUGCAGAACACCAUCAAUCUGGUUUAACUGCUCUGUAUGGUAACGGCCCUUUCCAAUCUCUCCAUACAGUUAUUUUAAUCUCAUCGGAGUACUUUAGUCGCUGUGAGGGAACCAGCUGCCCUACGUAAGCUGCACACUGCCAGGCACACGGCGCCCUUCCAGCAGAGCAGCACGCUGCUAAUGCAGUUUUCUCAGUUUGGAUAGUUAAAGCUGCAUCUCCAGGCCAAUUUGUACCUGUGUAUUGUUGAUAGUGUGCCACAGGCGAAGAGAUACUACAGGAAAUGGAUUCUCAUUUGACCGUGUUUAAUUUUGUUCCCUGGAUCUCCAUCAUACAUCUUUCCAUCCCUCUGCCCACCCAAAUGGCUCAUGUGAAACAAGGCGACUUCCGUCACCGCAGCCCCUAAACUGAUGUGUGAUGAUGCUGUGAUUGAUUUGGCACUUUG